GGUUCCUUGGUCAAGUGGUUAAGACGACGCCCUCUCACGGCGUAAUCGGCAGUUCGAUCCUGCCAGGAACUA
RNAcentral lists this transfer RNA (72 nucleotides) under Lachnospiraceae bacterium. RNAcentral describes it as "tRNA-Glu". It matches the Rfam family "tRNA". From Rfam's summary of the family: Transfer RNA (tRNA) molecules are approximately 80 nucleotides in length. Their secondary structure includes four short double-helical elements and three loops (D, anti-codon, and T loops). Further hydrogen bonds mediate the characteristic L-shaped molecular structure. tRNAs have two regions of fundamental functional importance: the anti-codon, which is responsible for specific mRNA codon recognition, and the 3' end, to which the tRNAs corresponding amino acid is attached (by aminoacyl-tRNA synthetases). tRNAs cope with the degeneracy of the genetic code in two manners: having more than one tRNA (with a specific anti-codon) for a particular amino acid; and 'wobble' base-pairing, i.e. permitting non-standard base-pairing at the 3rd anti-codon position. The record is from RNAcentral. Lineage: Bacteria; Bacillati; Bacillota; Clostridia; Lachnospirales; Lachnospiraceae. RNAcentral also lists the same sequence under 1 other name.